Molecule: long non-coding RNA, 316 nt
Organism: Oncorhynchus tshawytscha (Chinook salmon)
Lineage: Eukaryota; Metazoa; Chordata; Actinopteri; Salmoniformes; Salmonidae
Source: Ensembl
CGAUGCCAGGCAACCAUGAACAUAAACUAUUUUUUUUGCAUUUAAGUUAACAUUAUAAUGAAUAUAAAUUAUACUUUGGUAAUGAUUUGGGAUAUUUUCACAACAUUUUUUAAAACAGAACGCGCCCGUGACGUUUGGGCACUGUUACCUAGAGACGACGGAAGGUUGUUGUUUACAGUUCUCUUUCCAAGUUUGUUGACAAGGAACUCUCGCGAUAGUUAUUCACAAAGUCGAGGAACGUCAGCGAUAUUGGAAAAGGAGUAUCUCUGGCCACCACAAUGAGAUUAAAGACAUCAUUACUCAAGGAACCAAAACA